Molecule: ribosomal RNA, 255 nt
Filed under: Proteus mirabilis
Lineage: Bacteria; Pseudomonadati; Pseudomonadota; Gammaproteobacteria; Enterobacterales; Morganellaceae
Description: partial 23S ribosomal RNA
Rfam family: Bacterial large subunit ribosomal RNA
Source: RNAcentral
UACCCCAAACCGACACAGGUGGUCAGGUAGAGAAUACUCAGGCGCUUGAGAGAACUCGGGUGAAGGAACUAGGCAAAAUGGUGCCGUAACUUCGGGAGAAGGCACGCUGGCGGUAGGUAAAGUCCCUCGCGGACAGAGCUGAAGCCAGUCGAAGAUACCAGCUGGCUGCAACUGUUUAUUAAAAACACAGCACUGUGCAAACACGAAAGUGGACGUAUACGGUGUGACGCCUGCCCGGUGCUGGAAGGUUAAUUG